Molecule: ribosomal RNA, 497 nt
Filed under: uncultured bacterium
Lineage: Bacteria
Description: bacterial SSU rRNA
Rfam family: Bacterial small subunit ribosomal RNA
Source: RNAcentral
GACGAACGCCGGCGGCGUGCCUAAGACAUGCAAGUCGAGCGGGGAGACUUCGGUCUCCCAGCGGCGGACGGGUGAGUAACGCGUGGGCAACCUGCCCUUACAGCCCGGGAUAACUGCCUGAAAGGGCGGCUAAUACCGGAUGCGGUGAAACGGACGCAUGUUGGUUUCACGAAAAUUACGGUGCUGAAGGAUGGGCCCGCGUCCCAUUAGCUGGUUGGUGAGGUAACGGCCCACCAAGGCGACGAUGGGUAGCCGGCCUGAGAGGGUGGACGGCCACACUGGGACUGAGACACGGCCCAGACUCCUACGGGAGGCAGCAGUCGGGAAUCUUCACAAUGGGCGAAAAGCCUGAUGGAGCGACGCCGCGGUCGAGGGGAAGAAGGUCGUUCGGAAUCGGUAAACCUCUGUCCUUCCAGGGACGAUAAUGACGGUACCUGGAGGAGGAAGCCACGGGCUAAACUACGUCGCCAAGCAGCCGACGGUAAUAGUCAACGUCG